Molecule: microRNA precursor, 84 nt
Filed under: Nothoprocta perdicaria
Lineage: Eukaryota; Metazoa; Chordata; Aves; Tinamiformes; Tinamidae
Also listed under: 5 other names
Description: mir-184 microRNA precursor family
Rfam family: mir-184 microRNA precursor family
Source: Rfam by way of RNAcentral
CCAUUCCCACCCCCUUAUCACUUUUCCAGCCCAGCUUCGUCAUUGCCACUGUUGGACGGAGAACUGAUAAGGGUGUGUGGGUGG